CUUUUUCUAUCCUCUGUCUUUUUUAGUUCGAUCUCAUGGCUCAAGUAGCCCGUAUAAAAAAGCACCUCCGACAGCUGGAAGCACACUACCACCUGGGCCAGCAAGUACUUCUUCGACUAAACCUUGGCAAUCUGAUUUAUUGCAGUUGUCUAAAAUCCAACCUUCAUAUAGCACUGAGGAGUUGAAUCAAGAAAUGGCAAAUCUUGAGGGCUUGAUGAAGGAUCUAAAUGCCAUAACUGCCUCAGAAUUCGAAUGUUAAUGCCAGCCCAAGUCAUUCAUUGUAUAAUUAUGUAACAGAUCUCAAUUUUUCUAGUAUUCUCCUCUUUUAUUGAAACUGGAUAUGAUUUACUUCCUGGGUAAUCAAACCAGCAAUUUUUUUUAGACUACUUCUCUAUCUUGUCCAAUCUCUACGUUCCUGCCGUUAGUCUUUUAGGAUUGUUGAUUCUAAAAACUCUUAGAGAGUUUCCUAGUUAAGUCAGAGUAUUUAGCUAGUAAUGUCAGGUAUGAUAUUUUCUAUUGAAGUAUCGUAUGAUUGACGAAUACUAUUGAAAUCUAUUUUUAAAAAACAAGAUUAUAACUCUUUGUUUUUUAAAACUUACAUUAUCCUGAAAGAAGAAAUAUGAAACAAAUUUCAUCAAAAUAUGGAAAGAACAUACUGAAUCAAUAUUGACCCCUACUGACUGAACGUCCAAAAAAAAAAAAAAAAAAAAAACUUAAUAAAUAUUGGUUCAAUGUCACCUUAAUGGAUUACUGUCAUCAUUUUAGUGUUGGUUAGAUUUUGACACAAUAUUGUGCCAACAAAUUUAGACCUAAUAUUUCCUACAUAUUGUCGUCUACACUGGGGAUAUGAAGUUGUUUCAGUGUAAAAGAGCUAAUGUUUUAGUACGAGUGUUUUUUUUUUCUAAUGUAUGUAAGAUUUUUAUUUUUUGAUGCUUAAAAUAUUUAUGAUUUGAUAUUUAUCAAAGUAACUUUAACUUGAUUCCAUGAAGUAGCUUUGACAAUACAGCUGAUAAUCGUAAGAAAUGUGUUUAAAGAUCCACGAGACUAACAAAGAACCAUGAAUGAAAUUGAUGGAAGUAUUCAAAUGUUUAUUUUUUUAGUUCUUCAUGCAAGAUUCGAAGUCUGUGCAGGAAAAAACAGCAGCACGCAAUCUUAGUUCUAGAGGAGAUGAAUACUUUCAUGCUGACUAGCUGGUUCAAAAAUUAAAGUCUGACAUGUUUGUUCAGUCAGUGAAGCUCUCUCUCGUGGACUCAAAAUUUUGUGCUAUGAAAAUCAAAGCUCUUCAAAAAUGUUUUUUUCUGAGAUGAUCGAACUGAGCUUUACAUUACUUGUUGAUCUCGUGAUAAUUCUCUUAAUAUUUUGUACGUAGUUACUAUUUGAAAAUGGGUAGGCAUUAUAUAUGAAACAUUUCAUAAUCAAAGACCAAUAAUUCACUAGCAGCUUGUAGAGUAAAGACUCAUAGAAAAUGUGUAAAUUCUGUUUGAAUUCUUUAUAUAAAAUAGACUUUCCUAAUUAAGACUGAUUGUGUCUCAGACAUUUCCAUUUUUUUUCCCCCACUAAAAUUUUCAAAGUUUGCUGUAUCUUUCGCAAUUUGGUAAAAUGUAAUUGUCAUGGUCAUUAUCAACAAGAAAAAGAAAAGUAAACAAUGAAAAGAUAGCGGUAUUUUUAUAGUUAUUUUGUAAGCAAGCUUGUCGAGAUCACAAGUUGUAUCUUUUACAAUCGCCCAUAAUUCUCUUUUUUAUCUUUCUCAGGUUAUAUCUCAUUUCUCAUUCUUAAUUUUGGCUAGGAUUGAAGAUUGAUGCCAGUGCUCAUCACUAAUGUAGUUCAACUGAAAUCCGUAACAGCAUCUGUUAACUGCACAAGCUCUUGAAAAUUAUGGAGUUAAGUUCAAAAUAACCUUUAUUCCAAAAAAAGCCUUCCAAAUAGUGGUCCCUUUUUUGAGACCCGGAGAUUUCAGUUGUAUGUGGCUUAAAUGAAACCUUGUGAUGUUCUUUUCUCUCCUAGUUUAUUUAUUCAUUGUUUUCAGUUAAUUUAAUUUAUUUUGUAACUCUGCCUAGAGGCGAGUUGUUCUUCUCUAGCUGGUCCUGAGCCCAGGAAAACAAGGAGGGUUGUGCAUAGGGCUAGCAACCCUACUAUGUAGAAACACCCAAGCUACGAAAACCAAGACGAAGCUUUGGUACCCAGGCAAUAUACGUAUAAAUUGACUUAAAGGGAACGAAUCAUGGGAAAAAACCAAGGACAUCAUAUUAGCCACAUGGAAUGUAAGAACCACGAAGAAAGCAGGAAAAAUGAUGGAAAAAGCCAAAGAGAUGCAGAAAUGUGCCAUUGACAUCAUGGCUGUUCGAGAAAUAGAAUUCUGUUCUAUGCUUCCUUCUCCUUGUCAUCUGAUUUCUCAAACAGCCAUGAUGUCAAUGGCACAUUUCUGCAUUUCUUUGGCUUCUUCCAUAAUUUUUCCUGCUUUCUUCAUGGUUCUUACAUUCCAUGUGGCUAAUAUGAUGUCCUUGGUUUUUUUCCGUGAUCUGCUCUCUUUAGGUCGAUUUAUACAUAUGUUGUCUGGGUACCGAAGCUUUGUCUUGGUUCUCGUAGCUCGGGUGUUUCUACGUGGUAGGGUUACUAGCCCUAUACCUAACCCUCCUCUUUUUCCUUGUCUUAGGACCAGCCAGAGAAAAACAACUCGCCUCUAGGCGGAGUUACAAAGUAAAUUAAAUUUACUAAAAACAAUGAACAAAUGAAUUAGAAGAGAAAAUAUAAUUUAACAAAAUAAAUGUAAUUUUUAAAUCACCUACGAGGUUGUCUAAAAAAUCCAGGCGCUUUCAAAAGAGAGAAUUUCAUUUAUGAAAGAAGCAAUUCUAUCUUCCUUUCUUAUUAUUCUUACCAAAAUAGGUACAAGAAAUAUCUCAAAUGGAAGUAUAUCGUGAAAAAGCUUAAUUUCAGUACACAGUUGAGGCUAAUGCCCCCAACGAUUUUUCCACUCCAACUGGUCAAAGAUCAAAUAUAUUUUUAUUCUUUCAAUGCCUAUGGAUAGAAGUCAUCACUUCGGUUAGAAGUUUAUUUUCUCAGUGAUGGAGACAAAACUCAAAAUCUCUGUCAUUCGAAUCCACAAAUGGGUGCAAAGCUCACAACUUUAAAUUGUAAACUAUGUUUCUGUGAAAUAGGUGUACCUAAUUCGUCUAAUAUUUUAUCUUAUCCGAUCAGUAUUUAAGAAGCUUUAUACCAAUUUUGAUAAUAUGUAUUUGCUCAUAGCCUAUUUUUACUUGUGCUGACCACCUUUUCAACUGCCAAUGAAAACCUGCCUCAAUAAUAUAUAAGGAAGAAAAGAAAAAAAUGUAUAGGUAGCUGAGCAGCUACAUUUUUCAUGGGUGCAAUGUAGAUAAGUCAGGAUCCUCGAGAUUUCCUUAGGUAUGUAUUCAAUUCUCAGUUGCUGUUAAUGCUUGUAUCACAUCUACUAGUCACCUCUGUAUAUAUUUGGGGAGACUUAUUUGAAGCAAGUUUGCAUACUUUGUUACACAUGAUGUGCCAGUUAUGUAAUGCACAAGUUAGUUAUUGGAAAAUUUAGAAAUUGUUCCAUGUCAAAUGAAUUCCUGCAGAACUAAUAGUAAUGGUGCAUCAAAAACACAAGUGGGGGAGGUGCCCUACCGUUUUCUCCAAGAGUCACUUUUUUCUUCUUCUCUUUUUAAUGGUAACAUUUUACGGAAUCUAUUGUCUUCAUUGUGAAAUAUCUCUUGGGUAGAAACGAGCCCAUUAUGUUUCAUUCCUUUCCUUGACGAGAAGGAAGUAGAGUAAGAGUACCUAAAAUUACUAACUUGCCAGGAAAUUUCUUAUAAUUCUUUAUAAAAAGGUCAUCUGGUGCGCACAUGCUAAGAGCCUGAAAUGGCCUAAAAUUGAACUGUGUAUCACCACAUUUUAAAAGCCUUGAUAGUAAAAAAGUUGUAUUUUCAAAAUUUCUGCUAGGUCCUAGGUUCAUGGCCCGGAAAUGGCAGCAUGAAGAUCAUUCAUUACCCCUCCAAAAUUGUACUGAAGUACUUCCUUUCUUCUCUACGUAACACUUUAAAUUCUUCAAUGAUGGGAGUGAGCCUAGAGGGAGCGAUAGAAUGAAGAAAUAGUGUUGGCCUCAUGAGCUCAUGCAUUUUGUAAAAAAAUUGUGUAAUUGUUUGUAAUUAUCGCAUAAAUUCUGUAAAAUAUUGUGUUUAUUUCAGUAGUUGGCGAGUGUGUCAACACUUCAGAAAAAUGAGUUUCCUUGAAAGAAAAGAAGAGGAAGUACGAAAAAAAAUUCUGAAAGUAUUCUGCCCAUCAAGAUCUAUGUAUCCAAAUCUUUUCGUUUAAAUUUUG
Molecule: non-coding RNA, 4329 nt
Organism: Bemisia tabaci
Lineage: Eukaryota; Metazoa; Arthropoda; Insecta; Hemiptera; Aleyrodidae
Source: RefSeq, a predicted model, not a curated record